UCAAGUGAAGAAGCGCAUACGGUGGAUGCCUUGGCAGUCAGAGGCGAUGAAAGACGUGGUAGCCUGCGAAAAGCUUCGGGGAGUCGGCAAACAGACUUUGAUCCGGAGAUCUCUGAAUGGGGGAACCCACCUAGGAUAACCUAGGUAUCUUGUACUGAAUCCAUAGGUGCAAGAGGCGAACCAGGGGAACUGAAACAUCUAAGUACCCUGAGGAAAAGAAAUCAACCGAGAUUCCCUUAGUAGUGGCGAGCGAACGGGGAUUAGCCCUUAAGCUUCAUUGAUUUUAGCGGAACGCUCUGGAAAGUGCGGCCAUAGUGGGUGAUAGCCCCGUACGCGAAAGGAUCUUUGAAGUGAAAUCGAGUAGGACGGAGCACGAGAAACUUUGUCUGAACAUGGGGGGACCAUCCUCCAAGGCUAAAUACUACUGACUGACCGAUAGUGAACCAGUACCGUGAGGGAAAGGCGAAAAGAACCCCGGAGAGGGGAGUGAAAUAGAACCUGAAACCGUAUGCGUACAAGCAGUGGGAGCCUACUUGUUAGGUGACUGCGUACCUUUUGUAUAAUGGGUCAGCGACUUAUAUUCAGUGGCAAGCUUAACCGUAUAGGGUAGGCGUAGCGAAAGCGAGUCUUAAUAGGGCGUUUAGUCGCUGGGUAUAGACCCGAAACCGGGCGAUCUAUCCAUGAGCAGGUUGAAGGUUAGGUAACACUGACUGGAGGACCGAACCCACUCCCGUUGAAAAGGUAGGGGAUGACUUGUGGAUCGGAGUGAAAGGCUAAUCAAGCUCGGAGAUAGCUGGUUCUCCUCGAAAGCUAUUUAGGUAGCGCCUCAUGUAUCACUCUGGGGGGUAGAGCACUGUUUCGGCUAGGGGGUCAUCCCGACUUACCAAACCGAUGCAAACUCCGAAUACCCAGAAGUGCCGAGCAUGGGAGACACACGGCGGGUGCUAACGUCCGUCGUGAAAAGGGAAACAACCCAGACCGCCAGCUAAGGUCCCAAAGUUGUGGUUAAGUGGUAAACGAUGUGGGAAGGCUUAGACAGCUAGGAGGUUGGCUUAGAAGCAGCCACCCUUUAAAGAAAGCGUAAUAGCUCACUAGUCGAGUCGGCCUGCGCGGAAGAUGUAACGGGGCUCAAACCACACACCGAAGCUGCGGGUGUCACGCAAGUGACGCGGUAGAGGAGCGUUCUGUAAGCCUGUGAAGGUGAGUUGAGAAGCUUGCUGGAGGUAUCAGAAGUGCGAAUGCUGACAUGAGUAACGACAAUGGGUGUGAAAAACACCCACGCCGAAAGACCAAGGGUUCCUGCGCAACGUUAAUCGACGCAGGGUUAGUCGGUUCCUAAGGCGAGGCUGAAAAGCGUAGUCGAUGGGAAACAGGUUAAUAUUCCUGUACUUCUGGUUACUGCGAUGGAGGGACGGAGAAGGCUAGGCCAGCUUGGCGUUGGUUGUCCAAGUUUAAGGUGGUAGGCUGAAAUCUUAGGUAAAUCCGGGGUUUCAAGGCCGAGAGCUGAUGACGAGUCGUCUUUUAGAUGACGAAGUGGUUGAUGCCAUGCUUCCAAGAAAAGCUUCUAAGCUUCAGGUAACCAGGAACCGUACCCCAAACCGACACAGGUGGUCGGGUAGAGAAUACCAAGGCGCUUGAGAGAACUCGGGUGAAGGAACUAGGCAAAAUGGCACCGUAACUUCGGGAGAAGGUGCGCCGGCUAGGGUGAAGGAUUUACUCCGUAAGCUCUGGCUGGUCGAAGAUACCAGGCCGCUGCGACUGUUUAUUAAAAACACAGCACUCUGCAAACACGAAAGUGGACGUAUAGGGUGUGACGCCUGCCCGGUGCCGGAAGGUUAAUUGAUGGGGUUAGCGCAAGCGAAGCUCUUGAUCGAAGCCCCGGUAAACGGCGGCCGUAACUAUAACGGUCCUAAGGUAGCGAAAUUCCUUGUCGGGUAAGUUCCGACCUGCACGAAUGGCG
RNAcentral lists this ribosomal RNA (1960 nucleotides) under Pseudomonas aeruginosa. Its description in RNAcentral is "bacterial LSU rRNA". It matches the Rfam family "Bacterial large subunit ribosomal RNA", at positions 3 to 2001 of the family's 2925-position model. Lineage: Bacteria; Pseudomonadati; Pseudomonadota; Gammaproteobacteria; Pseudomonadales; Pseudomonadaceae. The record is from RNAcentral.